GCCCGCACCACCGCCGCUCCAGUUUGCCACCGCUCCUAAGGGGACCCCAGCCAGGCUACGGGAAGAACAAAUAAAUUCGGAAGUGGAUUAGUGGAUUUCAGGGACCUGUAUGCCAGAAGCCCCUUAUAAAUCACCCCAGUUAAGAAAAACAGAAAAACAGCACCCCUUAAAGAAUUUCCAACAGGAUUUAGAAAGUUUGUUAAGGAGGAAGCCUUUCACAGCUACAUCAGUUACAAAGAAGGAUCCCAGCACCAUAACCUGCAUUUUUGGCUCCUCUACCCCACACCCUAGCCAGCUAUUUGUUUCAAGAUGGCACAUAGUUUUUACCUUGUUUCAAGAUGGCAACCUGAUCCACUCCAACUCAUCUUUGGCAAACAACAGUGCAGAUGGACCAAGCCACAUCACUAAAAAGGGAGCUGCAACCUCUUGUACAGUCUGUCUCACCAGUAUCUCACCAAUAUUUAAACAUUUUGGACGGCCAACCAAAGUUUCUAGGAUUUUAUUUUCAGACUGACCAUCGUCAAGUGUUAUCCCCAUUCCUCCACAUAAGGAACAGUGUCAAGAAGCCCUUAAGCUUCCCAAAAAGAUUAUCCUAUGCUACACUCACAUUACGUUUGCAGCCUAUGGUAUACUACGUUUUUAGGUCGGGUCACAAAACUGGAUACGGGGCAAAAAUUAGUUAUCAUUAAAGUGAAUGAGUGCUGUGCAGGUCUGGCUGGGAUACGGGAGCACCCAGUUUAGAAAAUUCCCAGCCGGACCCGGCAGCCAUCGGCUGCAAACCUAAUGUGAACGCAGCCUU
Molecule: long non-coding RNA, 799 nt
Organism: Hyla sarda
Lineage: Eukaryota; Metazoa; Chordata; Amphibia; Anura; Hylidae
Exons: 3
Source: RefSeq, a predicted model, not a curated record